CCCAUAUUUUCAUAAUUCCGUAAAUGCCCUAUCCACAUUGCCAUCGUUUCGCGCUUCUACAUUGCUACCAUCAGCAGCCACUCGCCAGUCCUCCUCCGCUUCUCCUUCCAUUCGCUCUGCAUCUGCUGGCUCUGCUACAGGAGCCGCUCCAGGCCCCUCUACGCCGACACCUUCCUCCAUCUCUUGUGCCGCUCCGCGGAAUGACACCCCCACUCUGCACUGAAUAGAAGCCGCUUAAGCGUCGGCUCCAAAGAGACGGUUAAUCUUCGCCUCUGAACGGACGCAUCUCCUUCGGUCGUUUUUUGACGGUCGCUGCUUAAUUACACCGCAAAGAGUAUAACAUCCCAUUCCCAGUCAUUCCUCUCCACCUGCUUUCUUCCGAUGCGCACAAAACAGAACGCUCCCUCUCUGUUUCAUUGUUCUUAUGCGUCCACCAAUUGCUUUGUUCGGUUUUUGGCGAUUAUCCCGAGUCGACUGAGCCAGACUUGGGCGCCUUCACGUUGGACCACACUAGCCCGGGUGACAUCAUCGAAUGGAUCUUAUGUGCCCAGUCGGGGUGAGGCUUGCUUGUGUUCUUUGAGGUGGAGAUUAGGCAGUUUUCAUGAACUCUCAGGUGACUUUUAUAGGCAGUACAAUGACUUGCCGAGGCUUUUUUGAGUAGCAUUGCCAGCGUUCGGACUCACUACGUCCACAACGAACUAAUGAAUUUCUUAUUAGUGCCCUGACUGCUCUAUCGAUUUGCGUUAGAUUGUAAAGCCGUGAAGUGAAGAAUAAAAUAUCGUAGAAUUGUGUCCUCAGGAACCCUCACAAGGUUCCCCUCAUAACUGAUGUCUAAGUCAUUUUUAAAGAAUCUGGAUGCGUUGUAGUAGUCACGAAAUCCUAACUUCAAGAUGAAGAUCCUUAUAGCACUGAGGGUAUUGGAUGUCAAAUUGAUGUAUUACUGCCAACCAAUGAUGCGGCAGAAGACGUGGCAAAUCGCUAUCUUGAGAAAAACAGGUUUUGACGACCUUGUCUCAAGGGAAACGGCCUUCGGAGCACAACUCACUGCCUAUGCUAGGCCAUCACCCCUAAUGGUUACGAUAGAAGUUGUUGUUAGGGCUAAGCAUGCAAUUGGUACUUGAGUUACCUACUAAUACGUGUUUAGCGUCUAGUCUCUUAAUAGGGGCUUAUUCUGCAUAUAAAAAACCAAUUAGUUUUGGUAUGACAGAUAGUGCAAUAGUUAUAUUACAUCUCACUCUUUAAUGUACGAUUGUCGCAGUCAUUUUUAAAGAAUCUGGAUGCGUUGUAGUAGUCACGAAAUCCUAACUUCAAGAUGAAGAUCCUUAUAGCACUGAGGGUAUUGGAUGUCAAAUUGAUGUAUUACUGCCAACCAAUGAUGCGGCAGAAGACGUGGCAAAUGGCUAUCUUGAGAAAAACAUGUUUUGACGACCUUGUCUCAAGGGAAACGGCCUUCGGAGCACAACUCACUGCCUAUGGUUGUGAAAAGAUGAGAUUUAGGCCGAAUUCUAUCGUUUAGAGUCUCAAAUUGGCAUUUUUAUGUUAUUUGGGCGUUUUUACAAUUUUUAGGGAAUAGUUUAUUUCCUACGUUAUAAUUUCGUUUAAGCCUAUUUAAGCGUUGUAAGCCUUAGGGCUAAAGACAAUUGAGUUCUUGGAUGAAUAAAAUUUCGA
This is a non-coding RNA of Punica granatum (pomegranate), 1668 nucleotides long. Lineage: Eukaryota; Viridiplantae; Streptophyta; Magnoliopsida; Myrtales; Lythraceae. The record is from RefSeq and is a predicted model, not a curated record.